AGAGGGCCGGGCUCCGGCCGCUGGGCGCUGGGAGGAAGGAAGGACCCAGCGCGCAGGUGACUCGGUCGGGCCGCCGCGCGGGAGUGCGAGGUAGGGGCAGCCGGGUGCGGCACCCUCGUCGCCCAGCUCCGCCUGCCUGCCCUGGCCACUAGCCUUCGGACGGAGCAGUGGGCACGCUAGGGCGCGGCGCCUCGGCUGGAUGGAGACUGGGGCAAAGCACCCAGCACUAACAACUCAAUUAGUUCCACCUUCAGAGGCCCCGCUUGUUACCUGUGGAACUGACUUUCGUUCUCAGCACGGACCUGACAAGGAGGUGCCCUUGUCUCCAUUUUACUGAGGAAACGGAGGCUCAGAGAGAUAAACAAAUGGAAGCCCAGGGAGCUGGAAUUCUUUUCCAUCAUUUCCCACUGGAGAGUAAAGCCUCCACCCUGAGGAAUGAAGCCAAGGAACUCUGACUCCAGGAAGUAUGAAGAAAUGACCCAGAAAGAGGAAGAACAGAGCUUCCAGAGGCCCUGAGAGACCUGGCUAUCCCAUCCCAUUUCACAGAUGGGAAGACUGGCCCACCAAGCAGUUAGAAACCUUGCUGCAUCUGUGCAAGGCCAUGCAGAGAACUGGGGCAGAGCCGGAAGCAGCUCUGGGGGCCCAGAGAAACCAUCAGGUGGGGUCCCGAGCCCAGCCAUCGACUGUGUGACCUGGGGUGACUCUCCUGCCACUCGCUUCCUUGUCUGCACAGUGGGGCCUGGGCAGAAUUCCCCCAGCUCAGACUAGUGACAGGGCCAGACUCAGGGGCUCCACACUGCCAGACAGACUCCCCGGUCACAGCUGCUUCUCAGGAGGCAGCAUGGGAGAGGGAACAGCAGGACGCCCCAGGAGGAGGACAGCACAGCCCCACACGGCAAGUGUCCUCGCUGCUCCCGCCGCCCCAGCUCUCUGCUCUGACCUCCCCUCUCUGGAGGCUGAGGGCGAUGAGAACAGUCUGUGUGGCAGGCCGAGGGGAGGGCUGGGCCAGAGCGAUGCGCUCCAGCUGCGACAGGGCCUCGCAGCCGCCUCAGGGCUCCCACCCUCUGCACACAUCUCUCCGGCCCGGGGCUCUGGAGGCCCUCUGGGACUGGCUGACUGUAGAGCACCUCCUGGCCCUCCUCAACGCUUCUCUGGCUCAGCUCCUGAAAGCUGUACCCUUCCUCCUAGCCUGGCCAGCCUUCCAGAACCAGGACUUUGGCUUUAGAGACCACUGGAACCAAACUGCCGGAAGGGCAGCGACCUUUGCAUGACGUCCUGGCUUCUGACCCCAGCAUCAUCUACCUACCCAUGUCCCCAAGCCAGGUAUUCUGCUGCCCAGCCCCUCCACAGCCCUUCUGUGGCCCACUAUGCAGGCAGAUGAGCCCACGGCAGAGCUGACCUUGGUCUGGAUGCCCCCAGAGCUCACCUGAAGACCUCAGCCCACCUCCAGCUGGACUGCCCUUCUCUUCCCCCCCAUAUACCCACACCCAUGACCCAACUACCGAGUCUGCCUGCUUCUGGUCGGUCAGUGGGUCUUGGCCUCUGCUUGUUUCCAACUCCUCAGGCUCCUCCGAUUGGAACUGGAGAUAAGAAAGAACAGAGCUUAGCCCAGGCUGUUCCCUACUUUCCAUCCAUCUGUCCACCUUCUAUCUAACCAUUCAUCAUCCAUCCAACAUCAAUAGAUCCAUGUGUCCAACCUCCAUUCUGCAUCCACCCUACCCAUUCAUCCAUCCAAGAUCAGUAUCCCGUUUAUACAUCCACUGUCUAUUUAUUCAUCUAUCUAUCCAUCCUAUACCCAUGUAUCCUCUCUCAAUCCAUCCAACAUCCUUUCAUCCAUCUACCCAUCCUUCUAACACUCAUUCAUCAUCCAUCAUCCAUAGUCUACAUUUACCCACCUAGGCAAUGUCCAUCCGUCCAUAUUCCACCCAACAUUUAUCCAUCUGCUCAUCACCCCAUCCAUCAUCUAAGCAACAUCUAGCCAACACCCAUCAUCUGUUCCAUUCAUCACCCGCCUAUCCAUCUAUCCACCCAUAUGUCACCCAUCCAACAUCUAUCAUUUGUCCAACACAUAUCUAUCCAUCACCUACUCACACAUCUGUCGUCUAUCAUUCAUCCAUCAUCUACCCACUAACCCAUCCAUCCUUCGUUUCCUGCAUGCACUCAUGUAUGCAUGUAUUCACUGAUCAACAAUCCACUGAGCUCAGGCCUUGGACCAGGGGCCAGAGAUACAGGGAAAGUAGGCCCAGCUCCUGCCUGCAUGGAGCCCAUGUUUCUUACGGAGAAAUGACAAGUGAACAUGUUCAGAUGCAGGGUAGUAGAACCACCAAGCCCCAAAGGGAAGCAUUACCAACCUGGGGUUGAGGUGAGUAUUCGGGGAAGGCAUCUCAGAGCAGGGCACCUGAUCUAAGACUUAAACAAUGAAUAGGCAUCUGGUGAGUGAAGAAGGAAGGGAAGAGCAUCCUAGGCAAGGGGAACAGUAUGUGCAAAGGCAGGAAGAUGUGCUCGUAGAGCUCUGCAACAGGCUGAGUACAAUUAGAGGGUGAAUCUGGUGGAAGGAAGGCCAAAAGGCCUUGAAGCCAUGCCAAGGAUUUUCACGGGGCAUGACCAGCAGGACCUGGUGAGUGCCUUUGUUGUGUCAUCUGGGAAAUGCCCUUAAGGUGCUCCUGUCUCCCCCCCAGUCACCAUCUCCUAACCUCCCAGGGACCCCAAGCCUCACCAUGGAGUGACUCUAGUUGAAGAAUCUCUCCACCCUCCCUCUUCCCUUUUGGCCAAGCCAGCCACAUGCCAGCCGCCACGGGGACCCAGCGUCUAGCCCUCCCUGAGCUGCCUGUGGCCUGCCUGCCUCCCCAGCAAGCCUGACAGCAACGUGUCAUGGAGGGGGAGCCCAUAUUCCCAAAUCCCCCCUUGGUCCUAAGGGCAGGACCAGACUGGCUUAUCCCUGUAUCUCUGGUUCUAUGCACUGAGUUGAGUAGAGGGAAAUUAAUAAAAGCCUCAGGGAAAUCCAGGGGAAGGCUCCCUGGUCCUGCCAGGGGCUCAGAGGCUUCACAACAUGGUAGCUGAAAGCUUGGGCUUUGGAGUUGACACUUCCAUCUCAUUUCUCAUGACCAUAUAUGUGUGAUGCCCGGCAAAUGCCUGAGUCUGAGCCUGCUUAUCUAGCGGAGAUGUGAAUGGCAAAGCGUGUAAAACACUAUACCCACGGCCUGACACUGUGAAGCCUCUCCUGUCCCCUAUGGGGCAGGCGGCAUGAGAUGGCACAUCAAGGAGAUGAGCAGGGUUAGGAUGAAUGAGCAGAAGCCUCUGUGUCACCCCAGUGGCUACUGUCAGGGAAGCACUUGGUCCCACUUUACAGGGGAAGACCAGGACCAAGAGAGGCUCAUGCCCAAAAGCACGUGCUGCGUUCCUGGUGAGCUGGGACCAGGCUGCACGACUCUGACCUCCAGGACGCUCACCACUCACCACCCUCACGAUUCCCUCUCCGGCAGCACCUGCCUACCACUGACUCUGGUCCCCUGCCUCUGAGCCAAGGAGGCAGGGAAGGGAUUUGGUGAGCCCCUGCUACGUGCCAGGCACUGGGCCUACAUUGCUCAUGGGCCCUCAUUCAAGCAGCCUGUCUCGGCAGCCAACUGAACCUGAUAAGCAUUCGUGCAACCUCUUCUCUAUGCCUGAGAAGAGGCGGAGGGGCCGGAGAAGGGUAAUUGAGGCUGUUGUGGACUUGGGGAAACUUGGAAUACAGCAGUGGGAGGGGACAUGACCACACUGGCUGCAAUCCCAGCCAGGGUCAGGUAGGAGCUGCCAGAGGCAACACAGACCAGGUGUUGUGGGGCCAGGAGGAGAGAAGGCCCUGGCCAGAGCAGCCUGCUUGAGGCCUCAGGGCGAUCUGCACUGAGCAGACCUGGAGUCCACCUCUGCCCCUGCCCUUCGUAGCUGCAGGAUUUUGAGUAAGUGGCUUAACCUCUCUGUGUCUUAGUUUCUUUAUGUGUAAAUAAACAGUGCUUUUCUUAUCAGGUUGCUAUGGAAAUUAAGUGAGGAAAGUACCCAUUAAACAUACAGA
Molecule: long non-coding RNA, 4051 nt
Organism: Manis javanica (Malayan pangolin)
Lineage: Eukaryota; Metazoa; Chordata; Mammalia; Pholidota; Manidae
Source: RefSeq, a predicted model, not a curated record